UAGGGAAUCUUCGGCAAUGGACGAAAGUCUGACCGAGCAACGCCGCGUGAGUGAAGAAGGUUUUCGGAUCGUAAAACUCUGUUGUUAGAGAAGAACAAGGACGUUAGUAACUGAACGUCCCCUGACGGUAUCUAACCAGAAAGCCACGGCUAACUACGUGCCAGCAGCCGCGGUAAUACGUAGGUGGCAAGCGUUGUCCGGAUUUAUUGGGCGUAAAGCGAGCGCAGGCGGUUUCUUAAGUCUGAUGUGAAAGCCCCGGGCUCAACCUGGGAACUGCAUCUGAUACUGGCAAGCUUGAGUCUCGUAGAGGGGGGUAGAAUUCCAGGUGUAGCGGUGAAAUGCGUAGAGAUCUGGAGGAAUACCGGUGGCGAAGGCGGCCCCCUGGACGAAGACUGACGCUCAGGUGCGAAAGCGUGGGGAGCAAACAGG
Molecule: ribosomal RNA, 429 nt
Filed under: Chloroflexota bacterium
Lineage: Bacteria; Bacillati; Chloroflexota
Description: Chloroflexi bacterium partial 16S ribosomal RNA
Rfam family: Bacterial small subunit ribosomal RNA
Source: RNAcentral